RNAcentral lists this long non-coding RNA (482 nucleotides) under Crocodylus porosus (Australian saltwater crocodile). RNAcentral's name for it is "lncRNA (ENSCPRG00005008478.1)". The record is from RNAcentral. Lineage: Eukaryota; Metazoa; Chordata; Crocodylia; Crocodylidae.
GAAGUCAGGGUCAAGGUGAGAAAUAAGGAAACCCAGUGCUUAUGAAGGCUCUUGUUUGUUCUGCCUUAGGGUUCAGAGAUCAAUGCCUCACAGCUGCAAAGACUUCUCAGUGAAGUGUUCCUGCAAGAUCAAACGGCCAGCCUAGGAGAAGGAUUCAGCCUUGAUUCAUGCAGAGGCAUUUUAGCUCUGAUGGAUCUCAGUUCGAAUGGAAGACUCACCCUGCAAGAGUUCAAGAACCUUUGGAAAUAUCUUGCUAAGUAUAAGGUACAUCUGAACUGUCAGUGAUCCAUGUUCUCUGCCACUGUACUAUUGUAUUUUUAAUUAGUGGGAUGCCAACAUGCUCAGAAAUCAAAAUAUUGUUGGGGGAAAAAAUUGCAAAGGCUGUGCAGCUUACUAGAUCAAACGCCUGCUUUAUCAUUUAAGAAAGGGAGGAAGCUGCAAAUACUGGAUGCGGAGCUGUAUGUCAGAAUGGCUAAGUGGUA